UGGAAUAACUCCGGGAAACCGGGGCUAAUGCCGGAUAAUAUUUAGACCCGCAUGGUUCUAAAGUGAAAGAUGGUUUUGCUAUCACUUAUAGAUGGACCCGCGCCGUAUUAGCUAGUUAGUGGGGUAAUGGCUUACCAAGGCAACGAUACGUAGCCGACCUGAGAGGGUGAUCGGCCACACUGGAACUGAGACACGGUCCAGACUCCUACGGGAGGCAGCAGUAGGGAAUCUUCCGCAAUGGGCGAAAGCCUGACGGAGCAACGCCGCGUGAGUGAUGAAGGUCUUCGGAUCGUAAAACUCUGUUAUUAGGGAAGAACAAAUGUGUAAGUAACUGUGCACGUCUUGACGGUACCUAAUCAGAAAGCCACGGCUAACUACGUGCCAGCAGCCGCGGUAAUACGUAGGUGGCAAGCGUUAUCCGGAAUUAUUGGGCGUAAAGCGCGCGUAGGCGGUUUCUUAAGUCUGAUGUGAAAGCCCACGGCUCAACCGUGGAGGGUCAUUGGAAACUGGGAAACUUGAGUGCAGAAGAGGAAAGUGGAAUUCCAUGUGUAGCGGUGAAAUGCGCAGAGAUAUGGAGGAACACCAGUGGCGAAGGCGGCUUUCUGGUCUGUAACUGACGCUGAUGUGCGAAAGCGUGGGGAUCAAACAGGAUUAGAUACCCU
RNAcentral lists this ribosomal RNA (662 nucleotides) under uncultured bacterium. RNAcentral's name for it is "bacterial SSU rRNA". It matches the Rfam family "Bacterial small subunit ribosomal RNA", at positions 139 to 788 of the family's 1533-position model. The record is from RNAcentral.